This 448-nucleotide ribosomal RNA is filed under the name uncultured bacterium. RNAcentral's name for it is "partial 16S ribosomal RNA". It matches the Rfam family "Bacterial small subunit ribosomal RNA", at positions 354 to 796 of the family's 1533-position model. The record is from RNAcentral.
GUGCUGAAUUAUUCGCCAAUGCGCGAAAGCGUGACGGUGCGACGCCGCGUGCGGGACGAAGGCCUUCGGGUUGUAAACCGCUGUCAGGGAUUAGAAAACCGAUAUGGUUAAUAGCCAUGUCAUUGAUCAGUCCCAAAGGAAGCACAGGCUAACCUCGUGCCAGCAGCCGCGGUAAUACGAGGUGUGCGAGCGUUGUUCGGAAUCACUGGGCAUAAAGGGUGCGUAGGCGGUACGCCAAGUCGGGAGUGAAAUCCCUCCGCUUAACGGAGGAACUGCUUUCGAUACUAGCGUGCUAGAGGAUAAAAGGGGAAAGCGGAAUUCUAGGUGUAGCGGUGAAAUGCGUAGAUAUCAGGAGGAACACCGAUGGCGAAAGCAGUCUCCUGGCCCAAUACUGACACUGAGGUACGAAAGCUAGGGUAGCAAACAGGAUUAGAAACCCCAGUAGUCC